UGCUAUAUCAAGUAGAGGGUCUUUAGAGC
RNAcentral lists this non-coding RNA (29 nucleotides) under Rattus norvegicus (Norway rat). Lineage: Eukaryota; Metazoa; Chordata; Mammalia; Rodentia; Muridae. The record is from RNAcentral.